This 19-nucleotide small nuclear RNA is filed under the name Arabidopsis thaliana (thale cress). RNAcentral describes it as "snRNA_06773". Lineage: Eukaryota; Viridiplantae; Streptophyta; Magnoliopsida; Brassicales; Brassicaceae. The record is from RNAcentral.
CGGUUAGUUUUGGUAGAAA